GCCUUCGUGGUGUAGUGGUCAGCACGAUCGGUGUGUAUUCGAGAGGUCCAUGGUUCGAAUCCCGGCGAGGGCA
This 73-nucleotide transfer RNA is filed under the name Stegodyphus mimosarum. It matches the Rfam family "tRNA". Rfam says of the family: Transfer RNA (tRNA) molecules are approximately 80 nucleotides in length. Their secondary structure includes four short double-helical elements and three loops (D, anti-codon, and T loops). The record is from Rfam by way of RNAcentral. Lineage: Eukaryota; Metazoa; Arthropoda; Arachnida; Araneae; Eresidae.